UAGCGUUACUGACGCUGAAGCUCGAAAGCGUGGGUAUCGAACAGGAUUAGAUACCCUGGUAGUCCACGCGGUAAACGAUGGAUGCUCGCUGUUUGCCUUAUAUGGUAAGCGGCCAAGCGAAAGCAUUAAGCAUCCCACCUGGGGAGUACGCCGGCAACGGUGAAACUCAAAGGAAUUGACGGGGGCCCGCACAAGCGGAGGAACAUGUGGUUUAAUUCGAUGAUACGCGAGGAACCUUACCCGGGCUUGAACUGUAGGUGAACGAUUCAGAGAUGAUGAGGUCCUUCGGGACGCCUAUGGAGGUGCUGCAUGGUUGUCGUCAGCUCGUGCCGUGAGGUGUCGGCUUAAGUGCCAUAACGAGCGCAACCCCUUUCCGCAGUUGCCAUCAGGUUAAGCUGGGCACUCUGCGGAUACUGCCACCGCAAGGUGUGAGGAAGGUGGGGAUGACGUCAAAUCAGCACGGCUGACGUCGGUGCGACAAGGCCUGGGCAAGGGCGCAUACAGCGAGUUGGUCUUUGGCAACAGGGGUGAAAUCAGCAACAUGCGCGUGGUUGGGACUGGCAACCCCAACUCGGACGCAUGAAGCUGGAUUCGCUCGUG
Molecule: ribosomal RNA, 600 nt
Filed under: uncultured bacterium
Lineage: Bacteria
Description: bacterial SSU rRNA
Rfam family: Bacterial small subunit ribosomal RNA
Source: RNAcentral